UACUGCAUCUUAUUUCAAGAUUUGGAAUAGCUCAGCUGGAAUACUGUCACCCCCACUAGUUUUGUUAUUGCUCAGACUUCCUAAGGCCCAAUUGACUUCACAUUCCACGAUUUCUGCCUCGAGGUCAGUGACCACCCCAUCGUGGUUAUCAGGGACAUUAAGCUCUUUCUUGUGUAGUUCUUCUGUGUAAUCUUGCCACCUCUUCUUAAUCUCUUC
This is a long non-coding RNA of Varanus komodoensis (Komodo dragon), 216 nucleotides long. RefSeq lists it as uncharacterized. The record is from RefSeq and is a predicted model, not a curated record. NCBI's taxonomy places the organism in Eukaryota, Metazoa, Chordata, Lepidosauria, Squamata, Varanidae. The transcript has 3 exons.